Molecule: transfer RNA, 74 nt
Filed under: Phytohabitans flavus
Lineage: Bacteria; Bacillati; Actinomycetota; Actinomycetes; Micromonosporales; Micromonosporaceae
Also listed under: 1 other name
Description: tRNA-Glu
Rfam family: tRNA
About the family: Transfer RNA (tRNA) molecules are approximately 80 nucleotides in length.
Source: RNAcentral
CGCGCGUUCGGCUAUGGGUAGGCUCUCGUCCUUUCAAGUCGGGGAAACGGGUUCGAGUCCCGUACGCGCGACCA